UACGUAGGUGGCAAGCGUUAUCCGGAAUUAUUGGGCGUAAAGCGCGCGCAGGCGGUUUCUUAAGUCUGAUGUGAAAGCCCACGGCUCAACCGUGGAGGGUCAUUGGAAACUGGGGAACUUGAGUGCAGAAGAGAAAAGCGGAAUUCCACGUGUAGCGGUGAAAUGCGUAGAGAUGUGGAGGAACACCAGUGGCGAAGGCGGCUUUUUGGCCUGUAACUGACGCUGAGGCGCGAAAGCGUGGGUAGCAAACAGG
Molecule: ribosomal RNA, 253 nt
Filed under: uncultured bacterium
Lineage: Bacteria
Description: partial 16S ribosomal RNA
Rfam family: Bacterial small subunit ribosomal RNA
Source: RNAcentral